CUACGGGUGGCAGCAGUGGGGAAUAUUGCACAAUGGAGGCAACUCUGAUGCAGCCACGCCGCGUGGAGGAUGACACUUUUCGGAGCGUAAACUCCUUUUAUAUAGGAAGAAGAUGACGGUACUAUAUGAAUAAGCACCGGCUAACUCCGUGCCAGCAGCCGCGGUAAUACGGAGGGUGCAAGCGUUACUCGGAAUCACUGGGCGUAAAGAGCGUGUAGGCGGAUUAAAAAGUCAGAAGUGAAAUCCUAUAGCUUAACUAUAGAACUGCUUCUGAAACUCUUAAUCUAGAAUAUGGGAGAGGUAGAUGGAAUUUCUGGUGUAGGGGUAAAAUCCGUAGAGAUCAGAAGGAAUACCGAUUGCGAAGGCGAUCUACUAGAACAUUAUUGACGCUGAGACGCGAAAGCGUGGGGAGCAAACAGGAUUAGAUACCCCCGUAGUC
Molecule: ribosomal RNA, 439 nt
Filed under: uncultured bacterium
Lineage: Bacteria
Description: partial 16S ribosomal RNA
Rfam family: Bacterial small subunit ribosomal RNA
Source: RNAcentral